This 457-nucleotide ribosomal RNA is filed under the name uncultured bacterium. Its description in RNAcentral is "bacterial SSU rRNA". It matches the Rfam family "Bacterial small subunit ribosomal RNA", at positions 340 to 786 of the family's 1533-position model. The record is from RNAcentral.
UACGGGAAGGCAGCAGUGGGGAAUAUUGCACAAUGGGCGAAAGCCUGAUGCAGCUAUGCCGCGUGUAUGAAGAAGGCCUUAGGGUUGUAAAGUACUUUCAUCGGGGAGGAAAAAACAAAACUAAUAAUUUUAUUUCUUGACGUUACCCGAAAAAGAAGCACCGGCUAACUCCGUGCCAGCAGCCGCGGUAAUACGGAGGGUGCUAGCGUUAAUCAGAAUUACUGGGCGUAAAGGAGCACGUAGGUGGUUUUUUUAAGUCAGAUGUGAAAUCCCUGGGCUUAACCUAGGAACUGCAUUUUGAAACUGAAAUACUAGAGUAUCGUAGAGGGAGGUAGAAUUCUAGGUGUAGCGGUGAAAUGCGUAGAUAUCUGGAGGAAUACCUGUGGCGAAAGCGGCCUCCUAAACGAAUACUGACACUGAGGUGCGAAAGCGUGGGGAGCAAACAGGAUUAGAUACC